This 478-nucleotide long non-coding RNA is filed under the name Homo sapiens (human). RNAcentral's name for it is "non-protein coding lnc-TMEM43-2:1". The record is from RNAcentral. Lineage: Eukaryota; Metazoa; Chordata; Mammalia; Primates; Hominidae.
AGAGCCCUGUCCACAGCAAACUAAAAUGAUGGCUAUGUGGACAUGAGCAGCUUCAACACCUUUAAGAACAAUCAGCAGAGCACAGACCAGGACGCAGAAAGAAUUUUGUAGCUGGAGGAAACUUCAGACACAAGUCCUGUUACAGAAGAGGAAACUGGCACAGAGAGGAAAUGGUGCUUGCAUAAGGUCUCUGGACAGAGUCUUGCCCUGUUGCCCAGGCUGGAGUAUAGUAGUGCAGUGGUGUGAUCAUAGCUCACUGUAACUUCGACCACCUGGGCUCAAACAAUCCUUCUUCCUCUGCCUCCCAAGUAGCUGGGACUACAGCUAUAGAAAGAACUCAACAAAGAAAUCUUGAAGAAUGACUUUUAGCAGCAACAAUAGAAGACAAAACAACAGAACUCACAGCUCUGACAAAGUCUCUCUCUGCUACCUAGGCUGGAAUGCAGUGGUGUGAUCUCUGCCACUGCAACAUUCGCCU